AUUAAAGGAAAACUAAAUGUUUUGAAAACAUAAAAUAAAACCUUUUAUAUGUAAA
Molecule: transfer RNA, 55 nt
Filed under: Nothopoda sp.
Lineage: Eukaryota; Metazoa; Arthropoda; Arachnida; Trombidiformes; Eriophyidae
Description: tRNA-Ser
Source: RNAcentral